GCGCAGGUGGAGAAACGGUAGACUCGUCACCUUGAGGUGGUGGUGCCCGCAAGGGCGUGGAGGUUCAAAUCCUCUCCUGCGCA
This 83-nucleotide transfer RNA is filed under the name Minisyncoccota bacterium. RNAcentral's name for it is "tRNA-Leu". It matches the Rfam family "tRNA". Rfam says of the family: Transfer RNA (tRNA) molecules are approximately 80 nucleotides in length. Their secondary structure includes four short double-helical elements and three loops (D, anti-codon, and T loops). Further hydrogen bonds mediate the characteristic L-shaped molecular structure. tRNAs have two regions of fundamental functional importance: the anti-codon, which is responsible for specific mRNA codon recognition, and the 3' end, to which the tRNAs corresponding amino acid is attached (by aminoacyl-tRNA synthetases). tRNAs cope with the degeneracy of the genetic code in two manners: having more than one tRNA (with a specific anti-codon) for a particular amino acid; and 'wobble' base-pairing, i.e. permitting non-standard base-pairing at the 3rd anti-codon position. The record is from RNAcentral. Lineage: Bacteria; Bacillati; Minisyncoccota.